AGCGAACGCUGGCGGCAGGCUUAACACAUGCAAGUCGAGCGCCCCGCAAGGGGAGCGGCAGACGGGAGAGUAACACGUGGGAACAUACCUUUUGGUUCGGAACAACUGAGGGAAACUUCAGCUAAUACCGGAUAAGCCCUUACGGGGAAAGAUUUAUCGCCGAAAGAUUGGCCCGCGUCUGAUUAGCUCGUUGGUGAGUUAACGGCUCCCAAAGGGGACGAUCCGUAGCUGGUCUGAGAGGAUGACCAGCCCCACUGGGCCUGAGACACGGCCCAGACUCCUACGGGAGGCAGGAGUGGGGAAUAUAGGACAAUGGGGGGAGCCCUGAUCCAGCCAGGCCGGGUGAGUGAUGAAGGCCUUAGAGUAGUAAAGCACUUUUGCCCGGGAAGAUAAUGACGGUACCGGGAGAAUAAGCCCCGGCUAACUUCGUG
Molecule: ribosomal RNA, 431 nt
Filed under: uncultured bacterium
Lineage: Bacteria
Description: partial 16S ribosomal RNA
Rfam family: Bacterial small subunit ribosomal RNA
Source: RNAcentral